RNAcentral lists this long non-coding RNA (1765 nucleotides) under Cyanistes caeruleus (blue tit). RNAcentral's name for it is "lncRNA (ENSCCEG00000001424.1)". The record is from RNAcentral. Lineage: Eukaryota; Metazoa; Chordata; Aves; Passeriformes; Paridae.
GGCUCCACCAUUCCCUGAUCAGCCCCUUCUCAUGCUUGGCAACCCUUCCUUAUUCCAACCAAGUUCUUCCUUAUGUUCAACUUAAGCCUUCUUUGGUUCAACUUUGGCCGUUCCCUCUCCUCCUGUCCCUGUUCCCUGGCAGCAGAGCCCGACCCCCCCGGCUGUCCCCUCCUGCCAGGGACUUGUGCAGAGCCACAAGGGCCCCCUGAGCCUCCUUUGCUCCAGGCUCAGCCCCUUCCCAGCUCCCUCAGCAAUUCUCCAGCCCCUUCCCAGCUCCCUCAGCAAUUCUCCAGCCCCUUCCCAGCUCCCUCAGCCCCUCCUGGGGCUGCAGACCCUUCCCCAGCUCCAUUCUCUGCACACUCUCCAGCUCCUCUGUGCCCUUCCCUAAUUUAGGGAAUUUUUCUGUGCUGGGAGUACACACUGCUGGCUCACAGUGAGGUUUUCAUUAAUCAUCACCCCUAAUAUUUCUCCGUAGGGCUGUUCUCAGUCCCUUCUCCAUCCAACCUGUGAUGCUCAGAGAAGCUGUGGCUGCCCCUGGAUCCUUGGAAGUGUCCAAGACCAGGUUGGACAGGGCUUGGAGCAGCCUGGGAUAGUGGGAGGUGUCCCUGCCAUGGCAGGGGUAGAACUGGGUGGGUUUUAAGGCCCCUUCCAACCCAAACCAUUCCAUGAUUCUGUGAUCUUUAUUCACAGCAGAAAGUAACAGCAUCUGAGUACUGAAUUCUCAAGCAGAAGUCAGGGAGAAGAGCUGCUGGGUUUGAUACAGGAUGAAGGAUGAUGAAAUAAGAGAGGCUUGUGAAAACAAGAAAUCAUCUUUUCUCGAUGAUGUCUGUGCCUCAUAAACUCAGAUGCUGCAGCAUCUUUUUAUGUCCUGAGGAUGAGCUGAACACUAAACCAGAUGAACAAGCUGCAGGAGCCCAGCACUUGCCCACCUGGGGCUGACCUUUUGAAGGACCACUUGAGGAGAGUGGAGGCUUGGCCAGGUGAUGAUUCCAAGCUCUGCAGUCCCUGGAUCAGCAAACCCCCGCCCCCGGGCACAGAUGGAGCUGCGGCAUCCGCCAAGGAGGAUCGGGAGAGGAAAGGAGCUGGGAAUUCGCUUCUCCUGCCUGCAGGUCCCUCUGGAAAAGCGGGAUGCUCUGAUGGACGGUGUUUGCAGCACGGCAGGAUGUGAAUCCUCCUGUGCUCCCCACCUCUCUGCUCCAUCCCGUUCCUUCCCCGGCCCUGACCGCAUCCCUCCAGAGCCUCCUCGGCGUUUCCAAGCCAACAGCUCAAGCCCAAGUGCCACCAGAGGUGACUUGGAGCAGGGUCACUUGCUGCCUUGGUGCUCUCUGCUGGGGACACUCCCAGCCCGGGCUCAUCACUUGGAGAUAAACACGAAACCGCUCUGAGAGCUGGAGCCCCUCUGCUCUGGAGCCAGGCUGGGAGAGCUGGCAAUGCUCACCUGGAGAAGGUGAGCAAUAUCCAACACACCGUGGCCACUCCUGUGUUCCUCAAUGGACCCCAUUCCCAGCAUCCUGCCCAAAAUCCCUUCCCUUGUUCAGCCUCACAGCAGCAGCUGCUGCUCGUUUUGGUGCCCACUGCAGAUGGGAUCAUUCGAUCUCCAGAUUUCUCCGUGCAGCCAAGUUGGAGCUUGCAAUUUCCUUUCAGCUGCAUUAAGUUCCUGCAUAAUUUUCAAUUCACUCUUCUUUUGUGGGGGAUGAAUAGAGAAGGGUGAUCUCUUUCAAAGAAGAUUUAUUAAAAUGCAAAUAAACUUCAAGCUGAAGGUCCA